GACGAACGCUGGCGGCGUGCUUAACACAUGCAAGUCGAACGGAAAGGCGCUGCUUUUUUGGGGUGCUCGAGUGGCGAGGGGGAGAGUAACAUAUGAGUAACCUGCCCUUGACUUUGGGAUAACAUCAGGGAACUGGGGCUAAUACAGGAUAGGAGCUUCUGCGGCAUGGUGGUGGUUGGAAAGUGUCGGCGGUUGUGGCUGGACUCGAGGCUCAUCAGCUUGUUGGGGGGGUAGGUGCUUACCACGGCUUUGACGGGUAGCCGGCCUGAGAGGGUUGCCGGCCACAUUGGGACUGAGAUACGGCGCAGACGCGGACAGGAGGGAGCAGUGGGGAAUAUUGCAAAGUGGCGGGGAGCCUGAUGCGGUGGCGCCGCGUGGGGGAUGAAGGCCUUCGGGUUGUGAAGCGCGUUCGCCUGUGACGAAGCGUGAGUGACGGUAAUGGGUAAAGAAGCACCGGCUAACUACGUG
RNAcentral lists this ribosomal RNA (468 nucleotides) under uncultured bacterium. RNAcentral's name for it is "partial 16S ribosomal RNA". It matches the Rfam family "Bacterial small subunit ribosomal RNA", at positions 28 to 507 of the family's 1533-position model. The record is from RNAcentral.